GACGAACGUUGGCGGCGUGCUUAAUACAUGCAAGUCAACUGAAGCAGUGGUAGCAAUAUCGCUGUGGAGGUGGCGCACGGGUGAGUAACACGUAGGUAAUCUGCCUUCAGGUCUAGCAUAACUCCGGGAAACCGGGGCUAAUAGCAGAUGAUGCAGCGGCUCGACAUCGAGACAGUUGUUAAAGCUAUGGCGCCUGAAGAUGAGCCUGCGUCUGAUUAGCUAGUUGGCGGGGUAACGGCCCACCAAGGCAACGAUCAGUAGCUGGUCUGAGAGGAUGAUCAGCCACACUGGAACUGAGACACGGUCCAGACUCCUACGGGAGGCAGCAGUAAGGAAUAUUGCUCAAUGGGAGAAAUACUGAAGCAGCAACGCCGCGUGAGGGACGAAGGGCUUUUGCUUGUAAACCUCUGUAGUGAGAGAAAAAAAUCCCAAUCUUUGGGACAUGAUGGUAUCUCAAAAGUAAGCCCCGGCUAACUACGUG
Molecule: ribosomal RNA, 481 nt
Filed under: uncultured bacterium
Lineage: Bacteria
Description: partial 16S ribosomal RNA
Rfam family: Bacterial small subunit ribosomal RNA
Source: RNAcentral